AAUAAUAUUUAUAUAUUUAUAUUAUACCCAUAAUAAUAUGAUAUAAAUACGAGAUAUUUUAUGCACCAGAAUACACUUUUAUAUUCUUAUUGUCAAGAUCAACUGAACCAGCCAACUCAAUGCCACGUGUGAUUUAUGGUCCAAUUGGAUUAGACUUGUAGAAUACUAACGGUAGAAAAAGCCUGGAUACCCAAUUUGCUGAAAUUUUAUAUUAGUAGGAGUGCUAUCUACUUGACAUAUGAUUAUAAUUGUGCCAACCCAACACGAAAUUCACACGCUUUAUAGCUCUUCUUCAGUUCAACUACAAACAGUCUUAUUCCUCCCAAUUUUGCUGGUUGGAUACAGCUAUUCUCCUUCCAACCAAUCUCCUCUGCUUCCCUCCUUUUACAAUUACUCUUGCAUUAUUCUGUUAGCUUAAGAUCUCCCAAGAAUUAGAAGAAGAAACAGGAGGUUCAUAUCUCAAGGUAAUCUAUCUAAAUUACUCAUAUUUUUGCUCAAUUAUAGCAGAGUUUUAGUUAAGGGGUAACCUUUUUGUUUUGCCAAUUGAGUAAUGGGUAAUCAUUGGUUUUGUAUAUUUGAUCAGGUCAAAGAAGAAGAUGGGUCAUCAUCAUCAUGAAGGAAAUAGACCAUAUGGUGAUCCAUUCUUGGCAUGUUGUUGUUGUCCUUGUUUUGUAGUUUCUUCUACUUUCUCUGUGUUAAAGAGGUGCCUCUUUGUAGUAUGUUUCCCUGUUUUGCAGUGCUUUGGAUUGGAUGAACACAGACAUCAACAUCAUCACCACAGACAUUUCUGAUACCUCAAUUUAAAGGAAAACACUGAUUUUUUAGUCUGCAAUUCACAGAAAGAUUAUGUUCUGAUUUGCUCAUUUGAAAGAUACAUAGAUUCAUUAAUGUUGUUUCAAGUUUCAACUUAAUUAGUUGUUGGGUAGUAUUUUACCUUGUAUUCUGCUAGUUUACUUUGACUUAUUAGCAUGUUUGUUUUACCUUGAAACAAAAAGGGAUUUGCUGCCACAAAUUAUUAAUCACAAAAUUUAUUUUGUUUUAUCGAGACUUGGUUGAGGUUUGUUGACCACAAAUAGUCCUAUUUGUAUAUAGUUAGAUACUACAGUACUUGUGCACCUUGCACAGUGGUCAUGAGUUCCUUUCUGCCUUUUCUGUUUCUAGAAUGCCAAGCAUAUCUCCUUGGGUCUCUUUGAGUAUUUGAUUAUGUUGAUCGGGCCGUUUGGUUUCUUUAGUUGAUACAUUCCAGCAUUUUAGAGUCGUAA
This 1262-nucleotide long non-coding RNA is filed under the name Nicotiana benthamiana. Its description in RNAcentral is "long non-coding RNA (NBEN_LNC027114)". The record is from RNAcentral. Lineage: Eukaryota; Viridiplantae; Streptophyta; Magnoliopsida; Solanales; Solanaceae.